RNAcentral lists this ribosomal RNA (587 nucleotides) under Umimayanthus chanpuru. Its description in RNAcentral is "partial 16S ribosomal RNA". It matches the Rfam family "Bacterial large subunit ribosomal RNA", at positions 1858 to 2423 of the family's 2925-position model. Lineage: Eukaryota; Metazoa; Cnidaria; Anthozoa; Zoantharia; Parazoanthidae. The record is from RNAcentral.
CCUGCCCAAUGGUUGUAUCUAAAAGCGGUUGAUAAAAGUCGACCGCGUAAGGACAAUUGAAUGGCCGCGGUAACACUGACCGUGAUAAUGUAGCGUAAUCAAUACCCAAUUAAUUGUUGGCCAGUAUGAAUGGCGCCACGAAGGCCCCACUGUCUUAAGGAAAUUCCCAGUGAAAUUGAAUUCGUAGUGAAGAUGCUACGUCCAAUUUGUUAGACGAAAAGACCCCGUUGAGCUUUACUGGGGCACUUACACGGCCCCGGCCUUCAAGACUGGGUUGAUAAACCAAGGCUUACCAUACCUAGGGACCGGCCGAAUUUAAAUGGGSGGGUUAGACUAUGUGGCAGCCCCCCCCGUCGGGGCCGAUGAAACCCCCCUCCCCCAUGUCAAAGGGGCUAACCCCCCCCCCCUUGGGGGGGGGACAAUGUAAGUAGGACAGUUUGGUUGGGGCGACCGCCUUUUAGAGAGUAACGAAGGUGCGCUUAAGGUGCGUAAUUAAUGACUGAAGCCUGACUGCGAGGGGGACACCCCGAGCAGACACCCCCAAGCCCGCCCGAGAAGGCUUUGCCUUCUGGGCGGCGGUGGGGUGG